CAGUAGCCGCGGUAAUACGAGGGGGGCAAGCGUUGUUCGGAAUUAUUGGGCGUAAAGCGUGCGUAGGUGGUGGUUUAAGUCCGUUGUGAAAGCCCUGGGCUCAACCUGGGAAUUGCAGUGGAUACUGGGUCACUAGAGUGUGGUAGAGGAUAGUGGAAUUUCCGGUGUAGCAGUGAAAUGCGUAGAGAUCGGAAGGAACAUCUGUGGCGAAGGCGACUAUCUGGGCCAACACUGACACUGAGGCACGAAAGCGUGGGGAGCAAACAGGAUUAGAUACCCCGGUAGUCCCUGUCUCUUAUAC
Molecule: ribosomal RNA, 301 nt
Filed under: uncultured bacterium
Lineage: Bacteria
Description: partial 16S ribosomal RNA
Rfam family: Bacterial small subunit ribosomal RNA
Source: RNAcentral